AGCAUAUCAAUAAGCGGAGGAAAAGAAACCAACAGGGAUUGCCCUAGUAACGGCGAGUGAAGCGGCAACAGCUCAAAUUUGAAAUCUGGCCCUCGGGUCCGAGUUGUAAUUUGUAGAGGAUGUUUUUGGUGAGGUACCUUCCGAGUUCCCUGGAACGGGACGCCAUAGAGGGUGAGAGCCCCGUCUGGUUGGAUACCGAUCCUCUGUAAAACUCCUUCAACGAGUCGAGUAGUUUGGGAAUGCUGCUCUAAAUGGGAGGUAUAUGUCUUCUAAAGCUAAAUAUUGGCCAGAGACCGAUAGCGCACAAGUAGAGUGAUCGAAAGAUGAAAAGCACUUUGAAAAGAGAGUUAAAAAGUACGUGAAAUUGUUGAAAGGGAAGCGCUUAUGACCAGACUUGGACUUGGUUGAUCAUCCUGGGUUCUCCCUGGUGCACUCUUCCAGUUCAGGCCAGCAUCAGUUCAUCGCGGGGGAUAAAGGCUUCGGGAAUGUGGCUCCCUCGGGAGUGUUAUAACCCGUUGUGUAAUACCCUGCUUUGGACUGAGGUUCGCGCAUCUGCAAGGAUGCUGGCGUAAUGGUCAUCAGCGACCCGUCUUGAAACACGGACCAAGGAGUCGUCUUCGUAUGCGAGUGUUCGGGUGUUAAACCCCUACGCGUAAUGAAAGUGAACGCAGGUGAGAGCUUCGGCGCAUCAUCGACCGAUCCUGAUGUUCUCGGAUGGAUUUGAGUAAGAGCAUACGGGGCCGGACCCGAAAGAAGGUGAACUAUGCUUGUAUAGGGUGAAGCCAGAGGAAACUCUGGUGGAGGCUCGCAGCGGUUCUGACGUGCAAAUCGAUCGUCAAAUAUGAGCAUGGGGGCGAAAGACUAAUCGAACCUUCUAGUAGCUGGUU
RNAcentral lists this ribosomal RNA (887 nucleotides) under Cylindrocladiella ellipsoidea. RNAcentral's name for it is "LSU rRNA". It matches the Rfam family "Eukaryotic large subunit ribosomal RNA", at positions 37 to 956 of the family's 3401-position model. Lineage: Eukaryota; Fungi; Ascomycota; Sordariomycetes; Hypocreales; Nectriaceae. The record is from RNAcentral.